This 504-nucleotide ribosomal RNA is filed under the name uncultured bacterium. RNAcentral's name for it is "partial 16S ribosomal RNA". It matches the Rfam family "Bacterial small subunit ribosomal RNA", at positions 899 to 1397 of the family's 1533-position model. The record is from RNAcentral.
ACUCAAAGGAAUUGACGGGGGCUCACACAAGCGGUGGAGCAUGUGGCUUAAUUCGAGGCUACGCGCAGAACCUUAUCCCAGGCUUGACAUGCACGGAUUAGCCGGCGGAAACGUCGGUAAGGCCGCAAGGUACAACGUGCACAGGUGCUGCAUGGCUGUCGUCAGCUCGUGUCGUGAGAUGUUGGGUUAAGUCCCGUAACGAGCGAAACCCCUGUGGCUAGUUACCAGCGGGUAAAGCCGGGAACUCUAGCCAGACCGCCGGUGCAAGCCGGAGGAAGGCGGGGACGACGUCAAGUCCUCAUGGCCCUUAUGCCUGGGGCUGCACACGUGCUACAAUGGGGCGGACAAAGCGACGCUAACCCGCAAGGGCCUGCCAAUCGCAAAAACCGUCCCCCAGUUCGGAUUGCGGGCUGCAACCCGCCCGCAUGAAGCCGGAAUCGCUAGUAAUCGCGGAUCAGCACUGCCGCGGUGAAUGUGUUCCUGAGCCUUGCACACACCGCCCGU